RNAcentral lists this ribosomal RNA (251 nucleotides) under uncultured bacterium. RNAcentral's name for it is "partial 16S ribosomal RNA". It matches the Rfam family "Bacterial small subunit ribosomal RNA", at positions 524 to 774 of the family's 1533-position model. The record is from RNAcentral.
UACGUAGGUUGCAAGCGUUGUCCGGAUUUACUGGGUGUAAAGGGCGUGUAGGCGGAGAAGCAAGUUGGGAGUGAAAUCCAUGGGCUCAACCCAUGAACUGCUCUCAAAACUGUUUCCCUUGAGUAUCGGAGAGGCAAGCGGAAUUCCUAGUGUAGCGGUGAAAUGCGUAGAUAUUAGGAGGAACACCAGUGGCGAAGGCGGCUUGCUGGACGACAACUGACGCUGAGGCGCGAAAGCGUGGGGAGCAAACA